This 428-nucleotide ribosomal RNA is filed under the name uncultured bacterium. RNAcentral's name for it is "partial 16S ribosomal RNA". It matches the Rfam family "Bacterial small subunit ribosomal RNA", at positions 355 to 774 of the family's 1533-position model. The record is from RNAcentral.
UGGGGAAUAUUGCACAAUGGGCGCAAGCCUGAUGCAGCCAUGCCGCGUGUGUGAAGAAGGCCUUCGGGUUGUAAAGCACUUUCAGCGAGGAGGAAGGUGGUGAGCUUAAUACGCUCAUCAAUUGACGUUACUCGCAGAAGAAGCACCGGCUAACUCCGUGCCAGCAGCCGCGGUAAUACGGAGGGUGCAAGCGUUAAUCGGAAUUACUGGGCGUAAAGCGCACGCAGGCGGUUUGUUAAGUCAGAUGUGAAAUCCCCGGGCUCAACCUGGGAACUGCAUUUGAAACUGGCAAGCUAGAGUCUCGUAGAGGGGGGUAGAAUUCCAGGUGUAGCGGUGAAAUGCGUAGAGAUCUGGAGGAAUACCGGUGGCGAAGGCGGCCCCCUGGACGAAGACUGACGCUCAGGUGCGAAAGCGUGGGGCAGCAAACA